RNAcentral lists this ribosomal RNA (740 nucleotides) under uncultured bacterium. RNAcentral describes it as "bacterial SSU rRNA". It matches the Rfam family "Bacterial small subunit ribosomal RNA", at positions 559 to 1297 of the family's 1533-position model. The record is from RNAcentral.
CGUAAAGCGCGCGCAGGCGGUCCUUUAAGUCUGAUGUGAAAGCCCACGGCUCAACCGUGGAGGGUCAUUGGAAACUGUGGGACUUGAGUGCAGAAGAGGAGAGUGGAAUUCCACGUGUAGCGGUGAAAUGCGUAGAGAUGUGGAGGAACACCAGUGGCGAAGGCGACUCUCUGGUCUGUAACUGACGCUGAGGCGCGAAAGCGUGGGGAGCGAACAGGAUUAGAUACCCUGGUAGUCCACGCCGUAACCGAUGAGUGCUAAGUGUUAGAGGGUUUCCGCCCUUUAGUGCUGCAGCAAACGCAUUAAGCACUCCGCCUGGGGAGUACGACCGCAAGGUUGAAACUCAAAGGAAUUGACGGGGGCCCGCACAAGCGGUGGAGCAUGUGGUUUAAUUCGAAGCAACGCGAAGAACCUUGCCAGGUCUUGACAUCCUCUGACACCUCUGGAGACAGAGUUCCCCCCUUCGGGGGACAGAGUGACAGGUGGUGCAUGGUUGUCGUCAGCUCGUGUCGUGAGAUGUUGGGUUAAGUCCCGCAACGAGCGCAACCCUUGUCCUUAGUUGCCGGCAUUCAGUUGGGCACUCUAAGGAGACUGCCGGUGACAAACCGGAGGAAGGUGGGGAUGACGUCAAAUCAUCAUGCCCCUUAUGACCUGGGCUACACACGUGCUACAAUGGAUAGAACAAAGGGCAGCAAAACCGCGAGGUCAAGCCAAUCCCAUAAAUCUAUUCUCAGUUCGGA